UAUUCAUAAUGAUAUUAAAAUUAUUUUUUUUAUUAAAAUUUCAUAACUAUACAUAACCAAAAGGCCUAUAGAAAUAAUAUUCAAUAAAAAGGAAGGACAAAAGUGACAUUCACUUAGAACAAUUACAUUAGACUUGAAUACAAGCUUAAUAGUCUCUGACACAAGAACUGAAACUGAUCUUUCAUCUCCAACAUUAAGGAACCUUUCGCCCUCUUCAAAUCUCCUACUGACC
RNAcentral lists this long non-coding RNA (232 nucleotides) under Elaeis guineensis (African oil palm). RNAcentral's name for it is "long non-coding RNA (EGUI_LNC021401)". The record is from RNAcentral. Lineage: Eukaryota; Viridiplantae; Streptophyta; Magnoliopsida; Arecales; Arecaceae.